Molecule: unclassified non-coding RNA, 344 nt
Filed under: Alteromonadaceae bacterium Bs31
Lineage: Bacteria; Pseudomonadati; Pseudomonadota; Gammaproteobacteria; Alteromonadales; Alteromonadaceae
Description: Long range pseudoknot
Source: RNAcentral
ACGGAAGAGGGUGAUUACAACGUUAAGCUUCGCAACGUAUCGCGUUUCAUCGAAAAUGGCGAUAAAGUCAAAGUUUCCCUGCGCUACCGUGGCCGAGAAAUGGCUCACCAGGAACUGGGCAUGGAGAUGAUGAAGCGCAUCGAAACAGAUCUGGAAGAAUUAGCCACUGUAGAGCAGUAUCCCAAGAUGGAAGGGCGGCAGCUGAUAAUGGUUAUGGCCCCCAGAAAGAGAAAGUAAGUCUCUUUAUUAGAUAAAGGCUAGAGCGCCAGCGAUUGUGUUUGCAGUCCCGAAGCGAGCGCAGCGCUCUCCUUAAAUAGAAUCUACCCUUCUCGCAAUAGCGGGAA